AGAAGGAGUUGAGUGAUGGUAGAUAUCAGGCCCUGGUCUGCGGCUUGGAAGUUUCCUGUGAAUAAGAAAAACAUCAUCGCUUCUUGAGUCACAAGGAUGAUAGGAUGAGAAAAAGAAAGGACAAAGGCACCAGAGGAGGUAAGAACAUAUGAGAGGCAGGCUGAGACCAAUUUUCUACCAGGCCAGCUAAUUCAUCACAAUGACAAGCUAUGGGUCAUAUGCUUUCAGGAACCAGACACUGGAACAUGUCGUCUGAUGUACAUCACACCAAGAAAUAAAAAAAGAAUUGGAAAGCCAAUGUCCAAUUAUUUACUAAAACAGAAUCCACUGGAGAGAAAUGCAAAGGCAGGUAAAAAGGCAAUCUCUUAACAUGAAAACUCACAACUGUAAAAUGAGAACCUAAACUAUACAGCGACAAACUCAGGAAAAAGUCUCCAGCUACUGCUGUCUCUCAGACUCUCACAGUAUGUGUAACCACUUCCUCCUCUGCACGGAAUCACCCCAGAAGAUCAACUCUACUAGAUCAUUUGAGGACAAUGAACAAAGUCUCAAGACUGAAUUCCCACAGAAAACAUUCUCAUGAAACCACCCAAUAUUCUGGUGAAGUUAAAGAAGGGCAUGUGUUCGGAGACAACCAGAAGCAGCAAUGCUCAAAACCACAAAACUCUGGAUUGCCGACUCUGCACAUCCUGGUUCCUCUAGAUACAGUUCAGUGGCACAUUCACAAAUAAACGUUUUCAAAAACUGCCCUCAGGCAGUUCUAGAGAAAUGCUUUGACUUGCCUAAUGGUAUAAUGUCAAGAAAGGAAGACGAGCACUGAUCAUUCAUACUCAUUAUUACAGUCACAGGGCACUGUCUGACUUGACAGAUACAGCCGAGCAGUUAAAAGGUUAUGGGAAUUUAAGUCCAUUAUGGUCAUACGAUUCUUAUGGACCCAGAGAUAUGAAAUUAAUCAGCCACAUGUGUAGGGACAAAGUUUGUCAUAAAUAGAUAUAAGUUAUCUGCAUGCUAAGAACUUAGUUACUUAACUCUGUUUCCUCAUGUUAAUAUAAACAUAAUUAUAGAAUGCAAAUGAAAUACUUAGCCUGGAGCCUAUUAUAUAGGAAGCACUCAAUAAUUUCAAACUAUUGAGUAUAUUAUUAGAUAGGCUCCAUAAUUAUUUAUUCCUUUUUCAACAGACAGUAUGAUCUAUUGAAAAUAAAGCCAAACUAGAUUUCUUUGACCCACUCCUUUUUCUGUUUGUAUUGUUGGCAAGUUGUUCUAAAUCAACUUGCCAACAUACUAUUAACAUGUUAUUAACAUAGAAGGGAUGCUUAUUUUGUUUGCUUUGUAAGAAAUGCUUCUGAUUCAGUAACUGGGCAAUUUAUUUAAAUAUAAGUAAAAAGCAGAUUUUAUUAAAAACUACUUUGUGCUAUCAUAAAUAACUCAUUGUUCUCUGUGAUUCAGAAGUGGAUUUAUUAUUCUUUUGGGGUUGGGGAAGGCACUGAGACUGGUUUCAGCACUGAUAUUUUGCUUUGGUCCACAGACAGUCCAAGUCUAAUGAGUUACUAAAGGAAAAUGACAUUUUACUGAACUGUUUUCUUCAUAAAUAUAACAGA
This 1598-nucleotide long non-coding RNA is filed under the name Homo sapiens (human). RNAcentral's name for it is "HSALNT0308093". Lineage: Eukaryota; Metazoa; Chordata; Mammalia; Primates; Hominidae. The record is from RNAcentral.